RNAcentral lists this ribosomal RNA (253 nucleotides) under uncultured bacterium. RNAcentral's name for it is "partial 16S ribosomal RNA". It matches the Rfam family "Bacterial small subunit ribosomal RNA", at positions 524 to 776 of the family's 1533-position model. The record is from RNAcentral.
UACGGAGGGUGCAAGCGUUAUCCGGAUUCACUGGGCUUAAAGGGUGCGUAGGUGGGAAUGUAAGUCAGUGGUGAAAUCUCCGUGCUUAACAUGGAAACUGCCAUUGAUACUAUGUUUCUUGAAUCUUCCGGAGGUCAGCGGAAUAUGUCAUGUAGCGGUGAAAUGCUUAGAUAUGACAUAGAACACCAAUUGCGAAGGCAGCUGACUACAGGGGCAUUGACACUGAGGCACGAAAGCGUGGAGAUCAAACAGG